RNAcentral lists this ribosomal RNA (220 nucleotides) under Pseudoalteromonas lipolytica. RNAcentral describes it as "23S rRNA. Bacterial LSU". It matches the Rfam family "Bacterial large subunit ribosomal RNA", at positions 2711 to 2925 of the family's 2925-position model. The record is from RNAcentral. Lineage: Bacteria; Pseudomonadati; Pseudomonadota; Gammaproteobacteria; Alteromonadales; Pseudoalteromonadaceae.
GGUGUUCGGGUUGUCAUGCCAAUGGCAUUGCCCGGUAGCUACGUUCGGAACUGAUAAGCGCUGAAAGCAUCUAAGCGCGAAGCAGGCCUCGAGAUGAGUUCUCACUAGACUUUUAAAGUCUCUGAAGGGCCGUUGAAGACUACAACGUUGAUAGGCAGGAUGUGGAAGUGGUGUGAGCCAUUAAGCUAACCUGUACUAAUUACCCGUGAGGCUUAACCAU